AUUGAACGCUGGCGGCAGGCCUAACACAUGCAAGUCGAGCGGAUGAAGGGAGCUUGCUCCUGGAUUCAGCGGCGGACGGGUGAGUAAUGCCUAGGAAUCUGCCUGGUAGUGGGGGAUAACGUCCGGAAACGGGCGCUAAUACCGCAUACGUCCUGAGGGAGAAAGUGGGGGAUCUUCGGACCUCACGCUAUCAGAUGAGCCUAGGUCGGAUUAGCUAGUUGGUGGGGUAAAGGCCUACCAAGGCGGCGAUCCGUAACUGGUCUGAGAGGAUGAUCAGUCACACUGGAACUGAGACACGGUCCAGACUCCUACGGGAGGCAGCAGUGGGGAAUAUUGGACGAUGGGCGAAAGCCUGAUCCAGCAAUGCCGCGUGUGUGAAGAAGGUCUUCGGAUUGUAAAGCACUUUAAGUUGGGAGGAAGGGCAGUAAGUUAAUACCUUGCUGUUUUGACGGUACCGACAGAAUAAGCACCGGCUAACUUCGUG
Molecule: ribosomal RNA, 484 nt
Filed under: uncultured bacterium
Lineage: Bacteria
Description: partial 16S ribosomal RNA
Rfam family: Bacterial small subunit ribosomal RNA
Source: RNAcentral